UAAACAAACUCACCCAACGCAAUCAGAUGUAUCCACUAGUUGCCGUUUUAUUAAUCUGCUCGCUCUAUCAGUAGCACUAGAUUGUUUUUCCCACCAAACGGUGCAGAUGAAAAGUUCGCCCGCACACGCAAAAAUAUCUUCAAAGCACUGCCCACAGGCGUAGUUUGCAAGUGUAAUUAAAUUGCACACACUUUUCACCGAGCCUUCCCGGUCGGGCGCGCGUCAUCCGCGUUUGUGCGUCGCCAGAUAAAGAUCGGCAGGAUUGAAAAGCGCGUCGUUGGGUAAGGAAAAACACAAAAGUUAAGCUGGUGCGGUGCUGUUGUUGUUGUUGUUUUCCUUCUAUUUGUAGCGAACCGUCCGGAUCGGGCGGAUGGCGUGUGGUGAAGGAUCUUCUGAAGCUUCUUCAGACACGACGGCACCUGGCUACCGGGUGCUGUGCUGGUGUGGAAAAACUCCCUUCUCCUGCCCCGGUUUUUUUUUUGGGCCUGGCAUUAUCUUGCUGCCCCAAGAAAUGGGAAGGAGAAAAAGUUUUGAAAAACAACGCACCAGGGAAAAAACGACGGAAAAAAGGCACAAAGCUUCACCGCGGAAAGUUUUCCACGCCGCAGAAAAACAAAAUUACAACAAAGCGCUGCUGCUGUUUUGCUCCAACCGGUCCCACCCACCGCAACCAACGGGGGGAGGUGCAACAGUCGACCGGACAUCGGUGGCUGUCAGGCUGUGGAAAAUGGGAAUGGAAAAUCGCAAAUACGACGAACAUGAAAUGAAGUUUAGCUCUGUUUUUGUUGUUUUGUCCGCAGCGUCCUGGAAAGUGGGGUGUAAAUCCCUCCAUCCCAUUCCCCCCCUAUCGCCUUGCCUCGGUAGGGCUAUGGCGGAAAGCUUCUUUCUUCCCACGGCGCAGCUCCCGUACAGGGGGGGGGGACAGGGAGGCGGUCCCGGGAGUCAUUUCGGGGUGAGUAGAGUUUUUCUUCUAUUCGUCUGUUGUUUUGAUUAAGUUUGUAAGGAAAAUUACUUUUGGAACAAUGGUUUUAAUUAUAAUUGCGGGAGGAUGAUCCAAUUUCCUUACGCCAAAUCCACCACCACCACCACCACCCGGUUGUCUUCCGGCCCCCUUGGUUGCGCAUGGCGUUUUUUCCGAGCUGAAGCUGCUGGGUACCUGGGAGCGGUUUCGCUUUCGUUUGCGUCAUUGGACGGUUCCCCGUAAUAAGUCAAGUGUUUGCCAAGAGGGGGAGGCGAAAUCGACAGGGAGCGAGGAUAAGUCCAUUUGCAAACGAAACUAAAGAAAUUGGACUGUGACGGGCGGGAAAACAAGCGCAUCAUCCUUUUUAUUUUUAUUUUUUUGCUAAUCGUCGUGGGAUUGUAAUUCCAUUUUCCAACCAACCGAAUCCGUUUCCUUUUACCUUCGACUCGCACUCGGUCCAUUCAGGCACAUACCAUUCAGCUUUUAGAAGCUGCAAGAAACAGGCGAUUGUGUAAACAUGCGUUAUAAAUAUUCAUAACCGGUGUGUGCGUGCGUGAAAACGAUGCCGUAGAUAGUUUGCAGAAAAUCACUUCACUCUGCACGGACCGUUGAUCCGGUGGUUGGAGUUGGUUUUUAUUUGGUUAAUCCCUUUUUUCCAGUGUGUGGCGAAUGCGAUUUCUUACCGAAGGGUCAGAUUUGGAAUGGAAUGGAAUGUGUGAAAAGGAAAGGCGAAAGAGUGAAGAUUGAACAAAAUCGAUUUUCGGGAUUUCCUGUCGCGAUGCGGUCCGUUGCCGAAGCUGUGAAUUGGAUUUUGAUUGGGUGAUAUUUAUUUAUGGAUUUGUAGAAAGGGAAUGUUUUAGUGCAGUAUUUUUGUAUUUACAUUUGUUUUGUACAGAAAGUAUGUAUUUUAUCUCGCAUUGUGUCCGGCAAGGGCAAAACUGUGGUAAAACAUUUCUAUCUCGGCCAACCAUCACAAAUUCCAUUGAUAUAGACAUCUUUGGCUGCUUUAUGUAGCAGAAACUUACUAAACGAUCGGACAAGCAGCCCAAGACUUCGGAUUAAAGAUGAGUCGAUAACCAAAGUCGUGGUGACAGCACCAGACUUCCCUGCGAGCAGCCAUUGACUACGGCAGCAGUGAUGUACUGGCAGAACUUGGAUAAAAAUGCUCAGAAAAUUAGCUUGGAAGAAUAAAGAAAGAGUGGGUUAGUUAGUGUCUUGAGAAUGACACUGGACGAUCUACCCAGCACCAUCACCACAUCUUCACAGACGACUCCGUUAAUUGGGAGUCAGCCAGCUGUGGGAUCCAUUCCAGCCUCGACAACUGCGCCAUCAAGCUUCCUAAUCAAGCUAGCCAUCCGACUGGCUGCCGACGAAGUACUUCGGACCGAUAUUCCGAAUGUCAUCUUCACCGACAGUGCCAGUGUUCUGACCGCUCUCGAACACGGCUUCUCUAAAGACCCUCACAUCCAGCUCCUUGACGACAUCCCCUCAUCACUUGCAAUAGUUUUCUGUAGGAUCAUACCGGUAUCGACGGAAACGAAAAAGCCGACCAGCUGGCCAACGAUGGUCGGCUCCGUCCAACCGAACCACACAGCACUCUUUCGCGCCGAGACGCCAUCCGCAUCACUAACGCAAUAGUCGCUCAACACUGGAACCCUACCUGGCACAACCAAGACCUCUCCACAAAACAUCGCUCUAUCAAGUACAACACCGCACACUAUCUCGAUUCCAGUCACAUCCAACGAGUCCUUUCCCGCCUUCGCAUUGAUUACACCCGCCUGACACACUCCUACCUUCUCGAAAUACAUCCUCCCGAUUGUCAUGGAUACACUACACACCGAGCCACCUGCCUACUUGAUACCAACUUAGCCAACCUGACAAACAACAGCGGAACCGCCUCAUUCGAUUUCUACACAUCAGCAACCUGUACCGAGAGCUAUAAAUUCAUAGCGCAAUACUAUUUACAUUACACGGACCAUAAUAGUUAAGCUAUACACACAAUAGUUGUACCACACACGUAACAAUAGACAGGAAAGAGGCGAAUAAGGUCUCAAAGACCCAAAGCUACUAUAAAUAAACGACGAUCCACCCCUUAACGUCCUGUUCGAUCGUCCUCAGAAGACAGAAGACACAAGCUAAGACCUAAUUGAUACAUAGCACUUCUGCAGUCGUUCAAGACUGUUAAGUUGUUGUGCCUGACAAGUGUCCUUCAUGAUUCCAGUUCCCAAAAAAAA
Molecule: RNA transcript, 3195 nt
Organism: Anopheles stephensi (Asian malaria mosquito)
Lineage: Eukaryota; Metazoa; Arthropoda; Insecta; Diptera; Culicidae
Exons: 3
Source: RefSeq, a predicted model, not a curated record